Long non-coding RNA from Ruditapes philippinarum (Manila clam), 734 nucleotides. RefSeq lists it as uncharacterized. Lineage: Eukaryota; Metazoa; Mollusca; Bivalvia; Venerida; Veneridae. The transcript has 4 exons. The record is from RefSeq and is a predicted model, not a curated record.
AAACACAGAAUGCGGUCAUGUGAAUUGUGUUCCCUGACCCUAUGGAAAAACACAUAGACUCUAGUAGAUUGAAGACCUGGGAAAGUUGGAAUGCCAUGUUUCGUUGUCAACACAAAAUUAGGAACAGCAAUGAUUGAUAGUGUAGGUGGGCCGGUGAGGGUCAACAAUUUGUUGUCAACACUCAAUAUACCAACAAUUGGAAAUAAAAACAUGAAAAGAAAUGGAGAGACGUGUUGGAAAUAUCACUGAGACAGUGGCUUCUAUGUCGACAGAAUCUGCUGCGAAAGAUUAAGGAAAUGGAGGAUGUGCAUCAUGAAGAAUCAAUGGUAUCAGAAUACAACAUCAUGGAAGGUCUUAUUGACAAGAUCUUGGAGGAUGUCCUUUGCCAGAUGCCUCGCCAGCACUAAAGUCUAUUCUUCAGUCAGAUGCUACAGUUACAAAUGACAGUGAAUGGUCAGAUUUAUACAAUUGUGAUGAACAAUCCUCAACAAUACAUCAAACAAAAAUGCCUAUUAAACUGUAAGUUGAAAUCUAUGAGGUUUUUUUUAUAUAUAUUUAUAAUCAUGGUGUAGCAAUUAAAUGAUAAUACUGUGAUAAUUUUGUAAUGCUAUUUGGGGUCGUCUUCAAUAGAAACAAUUUGAUGUAUCUUCAUGUGAUGAAUAAUCGAUAUGCAGUCCGAAUUAUUUCAUAAAAGUGAUUACUAAAAUUGGUCAGGAAAAAGUCGUGCAAUUAGC